GAGGAAGAGAGGGAGGCCAAUAGGUUCAAAGUCUGCUAAAAGCAAGAUGGGGCGAAAACCAGCAUUCACUCACAUAUGCAGUAGGAAUAGUGAGGGCGAGAGAGGAAAAGAUGAUGAUUUUGAUCCGGCGGUCCCCGAUGCUGAUGGCCAAAAGAAACAUCCAAGGGUUCAGGGCAGAUGCGGCCCUGCUUUCAAAAGAGUUUUGGAGGUACAGGAGAAAUUUCCAGGAGAAUAUCCAAGCUGCACCAAGUGUAUGAUGCCAUCGAAUGUCCUUAGAGUUUUUU
This is a non-coding RNA of Lolium perenne, 284 nucleotides long. Lineage: Eukaryota; Viridiplantae; Streptophyta; Magnoliopsida; Poales; Poaceae. The record is from RefSeq and is a predicted model, not a curated record.